UUAGAGUUCAUUCAUUGAUACAUUGAUACAUAUAUUGAUGAUCAUUUCUUGCUAAUCUUCAUGUUUUUUUUGUAUAAACUUUAUUUAAACACCGGGUUGAACAGGGUCUAAUUAGUUCCGGUCUCAGGUGACUUGCUGACCUCUGCAGGUGAUCAGUGGAAGGACUCACAGGUGUAACUGAUAACGGCUGCAACCCAUUCGGUUCUGUAGCUAAAUGGAACGGAGCCAUGUUGAUGUUCUCGCCCACAGCUGAACCUGCUGCUGUGAGGAACAGAGGAACCUCACCUGGAAGCUCCCAGUCUCUCUCUGCAGACACUCCCUCAGUCUUACCUCACUUCCAUCCCCCACUCCUGCCGUUGCCCUGACAACCGUGACGUCACAGCCGCUCCCUGUCCACAGGUAACUUUCACUUUGUGAGCUCGUCGUGUCGCAGCUUCUUCUUCUGUCCAUGUGAAGUGUUUCCUCUACAGAUGAAGGUAGAAAGUCUCUGGGAGCUGAUGUGGAUGUGAAUUCAGCAGCAGCUGCCAAGGUAACAGGAUUGAUUUUGGAUUAUUGGACUAGCUGCCACUGCAUGCUCUGACUGGAUAUAGUAGACUUGGAAAAAGAGCAACAUUUCAACUGUUGAGGAGCUUUUCAAAAUACUGCAGCUCAAAGUGCCAACAACAUUUCUACUCUGCCAUGGAAACUGUCAGAUGAGUGGAUUUAGUAUUGAGCUGAAUGAGCCGUUUCCUCCAAUCAGAGCUGUGUGUGUUUGUCAUGUGACUGAGAGGAAUAAUGGGAAAUAAUGUGUGAUCUCUCCCAGCAGGUUGCUGUGUCUGUGUGAAGGUGUGGGCUCUGCUAUGGAUCAGUGUGAGGACAGAGAGGAGGGAGUCCCUCCCUCUAAAAG
Molecule: long non-coding RNA, 886 nt
Organism: Dicentrarchus labrax (European seabass)
Lineage: Eukaryota; Metazoa; Chordata; Actinopteri; Moronidae
Exons: 3
Source: RefSeq, a predicted model, not a curated record